UGAUUAAGCCAUGCAAGUCGAGAGGGUUCGGCCCUCGGCGUACUGCUCAGUAACACGUGGAUAACCUGCCCUAAGGAAGGGGAUACCCUCGGGAAACUGAGGAUAAUACCCUAUAGGUUACCGAUGCUGGAAUGCUCGGUAACUCAAAGUUCCGGCGCCUUAGGAUGGAUCUGCGGCCGAUUAGGUAGUUGUUGGGGUAACGGCCCAACAAGCCCGUAAUCGGUACGGGUUGUGGGAGCAAGAGCCCGGAGUUGGAUUCUGAGACACGAAUCCAGGCCCUACGGGGCGCAGCAGGCGCGAAAACUUUACAAUGCGGGCAACCGUGAUAAGGGAACCUCGAGUGCCUGUACAUGCAGGCUGUCUGGGUGUCUAAAACACACCCAAAGAAAGGGCCGGGCAAGACCGGUGCCAGCCGCCGCGGUAAUACCGGCGGCUCGAGUGGUGGCCACUUUUAUUGGGCUUAAAGCGUUCGUAGCUGGGUUGUUAAGUCUCUUGGGAAAUCCGGCGGCUUAACCGUCGGGCGUCUAAGAGAUACUGGCAAUCUUGGAACCGGGAGAGGUGAGGGGUACUUCGGGGGUAGGAGUGAAAUCCUGUAAUCCUCGAGGGACCACCUGUGGCGAAGGCGCCUCACCAGAACGGCCUCGACAGUGAGGGACGAAAGCUGGGGGAGCAAACCGGAUUAGAUACCCGGGUAGUCCCAGCCGUAAACGAUGUGCGUUAGGUGUAUCGACGACCACGAGUCGUCGAGGUGCCGAAGGGAAACCGUGAAACGUACCGCCUGGGAAGUACGGUCGCAAGGCUGAAACUUAAAGGAAUUGGCGGGGGAGCA
RNAcentral lists this ribosomal RNA (829 nucleotides) under uncultured archaeon. RNAcentral's name for it is "bacterial SSU rRNA". It matches the Rfam family "Archaeal small subunit ribosomal RNA", at positions 41 to 878 of the family's 1478-position model. The record is from RNAcentral.